UUUUACACUUAUUUACUCCAACCUUUCCUGCUAAUUCCAGGUUUAUUGGAGAAGACAGAAUGACUGAUGACAGAAGCACCUGCGAUCUUCUUCUUGUGCUGUGGGCUUCAGGGGAAUCCAAGAGUUCCUGGCAAAGAGGAUCUAAUGAAGACUGACAUUGAUCAAUAAAGGCAUGGGGUUAAAAGAGCAACAAUAAGAAUACCUUAAAGUUGUACUCAGAAGAUAGGAGCUAUCUCUGCUUCCUUUCAGAAACAUCAUUAUUACCUUGAAUCAGAGCCUGCCAGAAGCAUUUUGCACAACAAUUGUAAGAAGAGACUGAAACUUCAGAAACACUUUUAGCAGUAAACACUGGUGAUGAUGCAGUGUUUUCCUGUGCAUAAAAAUUCAUAUCUGCAUUUCCAAACAACAACCAAAACUGCUGGAUGCAAGGUGGCUGCUUACACUACAGACCUGUUACAUAUAUUCCAACCCCAUAAUGCUAGGGGUUUACAAGGAUAAUAUUUGUGAACUUUCACAUUCUAUGUAGCGGUCACAAUGAAGUCCUCUAAAGGCAUCCUUUGAUGGAAGCAAUUUGGACGUUUAUGAUGGCUCAAAGCAAGGUUCCAAGCAAUGAGACUACAUUAGUGUAGAUCACCAAUAUAAAUAGAACAGCUAUCAUAUCAUAUCAGUUCUGUCCACAGCACGUGAGUAGGAGAAGUUCUGAAAUAAGAUCAUCAGGAACAAAGAAAGGAGUAUUUCAGAAUAUAUUCAGUUGAUUCCAGAGGUAGCCAAUCCUGCUUGAUUGAAUGUUUGCAAAAUUCAAUUCUCUGUUUGCAGAUUUAGGUACAGCAGGUCUUUGAAUAACAGUCAUUUCAUUCAACAUUGUUUCCUUAUAACGUUGAUGAGAAAAAAAGAAUAUAUAUAUACAUAUAUAUUCCCACUGGGGUUCACUGUCUGGGUAGAGUCUACAUGUUUUCCCCAGGUCUGGAUGGGUUUUUUUCUGGGUACCCAGGUCUCCCUGACAUUCCAAAGUUAUGCACAUUCAGUUCAUCUAAUGGUCCCAGUCAGAGUGAGUGCGGGGGGUCAGUGAGUACACCUGGUGAUACUACCUGUGUAGGGAUGGUUGUUUCCUGUCUGGUGUCCUAAGCUGCAGGGAGAAGCUCAGGCCACCUGCAACCCUAAACUGGAAUAAGCAGGUAAAUCAUUACCUUAUGUGCUUAUACUGAUACUUUUAUUCAUCUUUCUUAAAUACAUGUAUAGCUCACAUUUAUGUUGAGAUUUAAUAUCAGAAGUGAUUUGGUCAUUAUUUACAAGUUGGUGAUGAUUUUCUGACCAUAAAUAUGCCAUAGGAACAUAACUCUUGUUAUAUCAAUUAGCCUGUCAUAAAGCUGGCUUUUGCCCUUCAAGUUUCCACUAACCUAUCAACAUUAAGUGAAGACUUACUGUAUAAAGAAUGUAGGUUGUUAGAAAUAAAGUUUUACCCUGAGGAAAAAAAAAUGGUAUCUACCAUUCAGCUCUGUCCCUUGGUUUAUCAAUUAUUUAGCAAUAUUUAAAUAUUCAUUCAGUUCUAUUGUUCAUUAUAUACAAUGGUCUUUGUGUGUGUGUGUCUGUGUGUGUGUAUCAUACAUAUUUUUAUUCUAGAGAUUCUAUUUGAUUCUCUUAUUUUAGCUGAACCCCAACUGAGUUGCUCCAAAUGCUGCAGCAAUAAAGUUCUCACAAGGGAGUUCUUUGGGAUUCCAAAGAAAGAAGCAGUAAACUGCACUGCAGGGUGACCAGUCCAAAGCAAGUGUUAGAUGACCUCGCAAAGUACUGCAGCAUAUAUUUAGGCAGACAGAGAGAAAGGGAUGCUCUUCCUCAGUAUGUCUGCAGCAAUGGCAUCAGGGUGUGAAGUUUAUAUGCAAGCUUAAAGAACUUGGCUCAGGGCACAGGCCGGUUUCUUUAAGUGUUUUGAUCCACAUCCUAAACAUCUUUAUCAGUGUCUGGGAAUGUUCAAGGUCCCAGCUCAGGUUAAGCCUGACAGGAAAAAGAGGCAGCUGGCAGGGUCACACAGUGCUUAAGGCAUUCUGUGUUUCUUAGGACACAGAAAGAAAGUGGGGAGGACUAGAGGACCCUACAGUUUGUGUUUUCAACUUAAAAUAAUUAUUUUCAAUGGAUCGUUAUUUGUUAGCCAUCAUUUCUUUCCUCUAUUGUUUCUUCAAAGAUACUAAAGAUAAUUUUUACCCUUUAUAUAGGUCAGUUAU
Molecule: long non-coding RNA, 2219 nt
Organism: Homo sapiens (human)
Lineage: Eukaryota; Metazoa; Chordata; Mammalia; Primates; Hominidae
Source: Ensembl